This 315-nucleotide ribosomal RNA is filed under the name uncultured Sphingobacterium sp. RNAcentral describes it as "bacterial SSU rRNA". It matches the Rfam family "Bacterial small subunit ribosomal RNA", at positions 28 to 334 of the family's 1533-position model. Lineage: Bacteria; Pseudomonadati; Bacteroidota; Sphingobacteriia; Sphingobacteriales; Sphingobacteriaceae. The record is from RNAcentral.
GAUGAACGCUAGCGGCAGGCCUAAUACAUGCAAGUCGAACGGGAUCCAUUUGUUAGCUUGCUAACAAUUGGUGAGAGUGGCGCACGGGUGCGUAACGCGUGAGCAACCUACCCAUAUCAGGGGGAUAGCCCGAAGAAAUUCGGAUUAACACCGCAUAAGACUACGAGAUGGCAUCAUCAAGUAGUUAAAUAUUUAUAGGAUAUGGAUGGGCUCGCGUGACAUUAGCUAGUUGGUGAGGUAACGGCUCACCAAGGCGACGAUGUCUAGGGGCUCUGAGAGGAGAAUCCCCCACACUGGUACUGAGACACGGACCAG